GACGAACGCUGGCGGCGUGCUUAACACAUGCAAGUCGAACGGAAAGGCCCUGCUUUUGUGGGGUGCUCGAGUGGCGAACGGGUGAGUAACACGUGAGUAACCUGCCCUUGACUUUGGGAUAACUUCAGGAAACUGGGGCUAAUACCGGAUAGGAGCUCCUGCUGCAUGGUGGGGGUUGGAAAGUUUCGGCGGUUGGGGAUGGACUCGCGGCUUAUCAGCUUGUUGGUGGGGUAGUGGCUUACCAAGGCUUUGACGGGUAGCCGGCCUGAGAGGGUGACCGGCGACAUUGGGACUGAGAUACGGCCCAGACUACAACGGGAGGCAGCAGUGGGGAAUAUUGCACAAUGGCCGGAAUCGUGAGGCAGCAACGCCGCGUGAGGGAUGACGGCCUUCGGGUUGUAAACCGCUGUCGCCUGUGACGAAGCUUGAGUGACGGUAAUGGGUAAAGAAGCACCGGCUAACUACGUG
Molecule: ribosomal RNA, 468 nt
Filed under: uncultured bacterium
Lineage: Bacteria
Description: partial 16S ribosomal RNA
Rfam family: Bacterial small subunit ribosomal RNA
Source: RNAcentral